This is a long non-coding RNA of Asparagus officinalis (garden asparagus), 539 nucleotides long. RefSeq lists it as uncharacterized. The record is from RefSeq and is a predicted model, not a curated record. Lineage: Eukaryota; Viridiplantae; Streptophyta; Magnoliopsida; Asparagales; Asparagaceae. The transcript is spliced from 2 exons.
UUUUAUUUCGCCCGCAGAGAAAACCAAAACCCUAUUAGACGAUCAAACCCUAGCCUCCUAAAACCCUAGAAAAUCUAUCGAGAGGCGAUGGCGAAAUCGAAACCAGCUGCGGCCGUGGACGCCGUCAAGGAGUUCUGGAACUCUCAGGUCAACGACGACGACAAGUGGGCCGUCAACUCGAAGUUGUUACGUGCAUUUGGACUCUUUGCUGGCUCCAUAUUUUUUAUGCGCAACUUUGGGGAGCUAAUGGCUAUAUGAAGAUAGAUGUUAUUACAAUAACCUAACAGAUUAUGGAAGGUGGUUCUAUAUCUCAGUCAUCUUUUCAAACAUGUUGUGGGGCAUUGUUUCAACUCAUGUAUCAAAUAUUUCGUACCUAUUUCAGAUUUCUUUUGUUCAAACUUCAUUACACUUAACAAUAGUGUCCGAUGUGCAUGUUUUGUUGCACGCGUUGUUAUCUUUAUCAUCUUCAAGAUAUGAAUUCACAAUGUUGUUGGUGGUUGCUCUAUACGAUAUCAUUCGGACAUAGAAUAUUGACAGCA